Molecule: long non-coding RNA, 232 nt
Organism: Alosa sapidissima (American shad)
Lineage: Eukaryota; Metazoa; Chordata; Actinopteri; Clupeiformes; Clupeidae
Exons: 3
Source: RefSeq, a predicted model, not a curated record
CAGGCGUGAGGUGUACCACAUGCAGCGGGAGCUGCUGAAGGAGCGGACCAGGUGCAGGGCCCUGGAGGAGGAGCUGGAGAACCCCAUGAAUGUGCACCGCUGGAGGAGGCUGGAGGCCAGUGACCCCGGCACAUUUGAGCUGAUUCAGAAGAUCCACACACUGCAGCGCCGGCUCAUCUCCAAGACCGAGGAGGUGGUGGAGAAGGAGCUCUUGCUGCAGAAGAAGGAGAAG